This 590-nucleotide ribosomal RNA is filed under the name uncultured Alteromonadaceae bacterium. Its description in RNAcentral is "bacterial SSU rRNA". It matches the Rfam family "Bacterial small subunit ribosomal RNA", at positions 348 to 927 of the family's 1533-position model. The record is from RNAcentral. Lineage: Bacteria; Pseudomonadati; Pseudomonadota; Gammaproteobacteria; Alteromonadales; Alteromonadaceae.
GCAGCAGUGGGGAAUAUCUNUCAAAGGGGCGAAAGCCUGAUGCAGCCAUGCCGCGUGUGUGAAGAAGGCCUUAGGGUUGUAAAGCACUUUCAGUAUGGGAGGAAAGGUUGCGUGUUAAUAGCACGUAGCUGUGACGUUACCUACAGAAGAAGGACCGGCUAACCCCGUGCCAGCAGCCGCGGUAAUACGGAGGGUCCGAGCGUUAAUCGGAAUUACUGGGCGUAAAGCGUACGUAGGUGGUUUGUUAAGUUGGAUGUGAAAGCCCAGGGCUCAACCUUGGAACUGCAUUCAAAACUGGCGAACUAGAGUAUGGUAGAGGUGAGUGGAAUUCCCUGUGUAGCGGUGAAAUGCGUAGAGAUGGGGAGGAACAUCAGUGGCGAAGGCGACUCACUGGACCAAUACUGACACUGAGGUACGAAAGCGUGGGUAGCAAACAGGAUUAGAUACCCUGGUAGUCCACGCCCUAAACGAUGUCAACUGGUUGUUGGGAAUUUACUUUCUCAGUAACGAAGCUAACGCGUGAAGUUGACCGCCUGGGGAGUACGGCCGCAAGGUUUGAAACUCAAAGGAAUUGACGGGGAAAUCGAAUU